Molecule: long non-coding RNA, 967 nt
Organism: Paramacrobiotus metropolitanus
Lineage: Eukaryota; Metazoa; Tardigrada; Eutardigrada; Parachela; Macrobiotidae
Exons: 3
Source: RefSeq, a predicted model, not a curated record
AUCUGGCUAUCUUUUUGCGCAUUGCCUGGGAUAUGUCAAAAAGCAAAGUGAGGGUUUAAGAUUUUGUAAUACUGCAGCACUUUCUAACUAAAAAUUCAAAAACAUGGUUAGUUACCAAUAUCAUCACUACAGUACUAGUGAUUUGUCUUUUAAUGGAGAAAGUGAACAAAUAAUGCCUGUGUCUAAAAGGGAACGCAAUCGUUCGACAGGCAGUAGGUGUACACCUACUAUAAAACCAGCAUUUCGGCCGUUUCUGCUGUUUUCAUCCGAAAAUCUUAUUAACAACGGAGAGGAUUUGUUUGGUGGAGGUGACACGCGUUUAACCAGUGGAUUUGGUCUUACGCGAGCAAGAUGGAGAAUAAUUAGAUUUGGAAGAAACAGGGAGCAAUUACCAAACGGCGAUCAACCUCCAACUCCGCUACGACCUUUGCAUCGAACGCUAUGGGGAAGAAAUCGAACAAGAAGGACAAACGCACCGCAGGCUGAGACUCCUAUGGAAGAGUCUCCUCCCUUCCGGCAGUUGUUUCGUGCUCGACAUCAUCGUCAUCGUUUUCGACAGCUAUGGAGAUCAUCGAAUUCGCUGACUGCUGGUCAUCAGCUCCAUCAAAGACGCCGUUCCGGGACGCGAGCAUUUGAACUGAUAGCCUAGUGUUUCUGUUAAAUUUAAAUUAAUCACCAUGAUUACCGGUGUGUUUCAGGUUAUCAUCAGAUACUAUGUAUGCAUCUAAUUGCACAUAUUCUUUUUAAAUGCAGGAUAAGCUGAGUGUUAAACCAUUUGCUUGUAUUUUGGCUUUUACUUAUGUAAGACUUGCGGAGUAAUCCAGCUGCAUGUUCUCUUCCUUCACGCUAAUUUUAACCGGAUCCAUCGUUUCGAUUAUACUCCCCGGUGGUUUAAAAUUUCCCUUUCUGUGUAUGAGUACUAACGAAAGUGCGAAUCUACAGUUAUAAAUUACAUGUCUGUUUGUGA